CUUUUACUAAGCAAUAAUUAUCUAUACUACUCUAUUUAAGUAUUAAAUACUAAGUAGCACAAUAUACAUAUAGUGUCUCUCAGCUUUUCCCUAGACUCCUUUUCCAUUUGCAACAUUUUAGACAAACUUUAUGAUAGAUUGAUUAUAUAUGGACACUAUCUACUUAAACCUAAAGUGUAUGCUCUGAAAAUAUACUAGAGCUUAUGGGAAUUCUUGUGGAUUUACCUCUAUAUAGCUGGGAUACUUUUAGAUCCCUGCAGACUGUGGGGAUUAUCUCUUCUGAGGAGUGAUCAUAUGGUAUUUGACUGAAUAUACAUUGUACUAUAUUGUACUUGUCACUAUAGUUUUCAGUGAAGAUAUCUUAAUCACUCCACUAUGUUUUGAGGAUAUCCACAUUGCAUCUACCCAGUUUUUACUUCACGUGUUGUUUCACGAGUGUUUCACUAUUAUUACACUUUAUUAUUUUUUGUUUUGCCUCAAGACGGCUCAAUAAAGGUUAUACCUAAUAAUUAUUGUAAUAAUUUAGAGAUAUCAUUUGGUGAAGUGGAUGUCCAAACUUUUCCAUCUUUAGUGGAACAACCACUUCACUUUAG
Pelobates cultripes (western spadefoot toad) is the source of this 593-nucleotide non-coding RNA. NCBI's taxonomy places the organism in Eukaryota, Metazoa, Chordata, Amphibia, Anura, Pelobatidae. The record is from the annotation of a GenBank genome assembly.